This 432-nucleotide ribosomal RNA is filed under the name uncultured Anaerolineae bacterium. Its description in RNAcentral is "partial 16S ribosomal RNA". It matches the Rfam family "Bacterial small subunit ribosomal RNA", at positions 338 to 786 of the family's 1533-position model. The record is from RNAcentral. Lineage: Bacteria; Bacillati; Chloroflexota; Anaerolineae.
CCUACGGGAGGCAGCAGUAAGGAAUCUUGCGCAAUGGGCGAAAGCCUGACGCAGCGACGCCGCGUGGGCGAUGAAGGCCUUCGGGUUGUAAAGCCCUUUUCUGGGGGACGAGGAAGGACGGUACCCCAGGAAUAAGUCACGGCUAACUACGUGCCAGCAGCCGCGGUAAAACGUAGGUGGCAAGCGUUAUCCGGAAUCACUGGGCGUAAAGGGCGUCUAGGCGGACGGGUAAGUCGUGCGUGAAAGCUUCCGGCUCAACCGGGAGAGGUCGUACGAUACUGCCUGUCUUGAGGGUCGGAGGGGGAAGCGGAAUUCCCGGUGUAGAGGUGAAAUUCGUAGAUAUCGGGAGGAACACCGGUGGCGAGGGCGGCUUCCUGGACCGAUACUGACGCUGAGACGCGAAAGCGUGGGGAGCAAACAGGAUUAGAUCCC